Molecule: ribosomal RNA, 214 nt
Filed under: uncultured bacterium
Lineage: Bacteria
Description: partial 16S ribosomal RNA
Rfam family: Bacterial small subunit ribosomal RNA
Source: RNAcentral
CUGUAAGUCAGAUGUGAAAGCCCGGGGCUUAACCUCGGAAUUGCAUUUGAAACUGGCAGGCUAGAGUCUUGUAGAGGGGGGUAGGAAUUUCAGGUGUAGCGGUGAAAUGCGUAGAGAUCUGAAGGAAUACCAGUGGCGAAGGCGGCCCCCUGGACAAAGACUGACGCUCAGAUGCGAAAGCGUGGGGAGCAAACAGGAUUAGAUACCCUGGUAG